UACGUAGAGGGCUAGCGUUAUCCGGAAUUACUGGGCGUAAAGGGUGCGUAGGUGGUUUCUUAAGUCAGAGGUGAAAGGCUACGGCUCAACCGUAGUAAGCCUUUGAAACUGGGAAACUUGAGUGCAGGAGAGGAGAGUGGAAUUCCUAGUGUAGCGGUGAAAUGCGUAGAUAUUAGGAGGAACACCAGUUGCGAAGGCGGCUCUCUGGACUGUAACUGACACUGAGGCACGAAAGCGUGGGGAGCAAACAGG
This 252-nucleotide ribosomal RNA is filed under the name uncultured bacterium. Its description in RNAcentral is "partial 16S ribosomal RNA". It matches the Rfam family "Bacterial small subunit ribosomal RNA", at positions 524 to 776 of the family's 1533-position model. The record is from RNAcentral.